CUAAGGGGGGUUCGUAGGCUGGUGCCAUUGCCUUUAUGAAUAAUUUAGCAUUACUUGUGGUCAUCACUAGAAUGAAGCAAGAACAGAUGCUGCCAAUCACCCUGGUGCAUCAGCUGCAGAAAACCCGAAUCUAGAUACCUGUAUUGAACACCAUAUGCACUUCCUGACUCAUGGCAAGUUUUCAGGAAGAAGACCACCAUCAUAGCUAAGCUAAGCUAAGCUUAGUCACGGUGAUAGUAAACCAAACAUGCUGCAGUCCAGGCACCAAAGAAAUGAACAUCAGGGGAUGCAAAAUAAAAUAUGAAAAUUGUACGUCGCAAAGCCGAAAGGGUGAUGGGUGGAUGCAUCCUUGCAUCAUAUUUGAUGAAGAUGUCCAAGCAAAAUAACUCAGCAACCAUCACAGCUAAGCUAAGCUCAGUCAAAGUGACAGUAAACCGAACAUGCUGCAGUCCGGCCACCAAAGAAAUGAACAUCAGGGGAUGCAAAAUAAAAUAUGAAAAUUGUACGUGAUGGGUGGAUCAGUGGAUGCAUCCUUGCAUCAUAUUUGAAGAUGUCCAAGCAAAGUAACUCAGCAACCUUCUUUGUCUCAUGAUUAAUCUGGACACUAAUUUCAUUAUUUCAGUGGCAUUUGCUUCAGAAAAGAGAUGCUCUCAACCAUAGUGACUCUAUCCUGCAGUCCAGAGCAAAACAAAAAAUCAAAUUAGCUGCUUAUUAAGGCACUGAAAGAUGAAAUUAAGAAGGUCAAUCUAUUGACAGCUGAAUUAAGAGCUAUGUAGUGUACAUGCUCCAGGAGGACAAAAGUAAAGGAGUGUGAGUAGCUACAGCAGCAUUUUACCAGCACCAAUUUAUUGAACAUAGUUAGUACAUCUCUAUCUACUAAUACAUAGGUCUGUCACUUUGCUUCUCUUGCAACACCAAUGCUUACACCUUCCACUGCAUGUAACAUUCAGAUUACCCUUGCGAUAUUUAAUUUGUAAAACAAAACUAACAUAUAUUCCUUCUAUACCCAAUUGCAAUUACCAGUAGCAAGCAGUUUACAUCCCACAUCAAGCGCAAUCACAAAACUGAACUUAAAGCCCCGAGAUGAAUGAAUCCAUAAGUACAAAUAUUCAAGCGGCGAAUUUUCUUUCCAGAAAAGAAAGAGAUGUUAAUCAGCGGUAAUUUUUGUAAGUGGCAAUUUUUGAAGGGGAGCAUUGGCGCAGCGGCAAAGCUUUGCCUUGUAACAAUGAGGCGACGGGUUCGAGUCCGGGAACCAGCCUCUUGCGGAAAUGUAGGGAAAGGCUCUGUAGAAAAGACCCAAAGUGGUCGGACCAUUCCCCGGACCUGGCGCAAGCGGGAGCUACGUGCACCGGGAUGCCCAUUUUCUAAAAGGAAGACGGUUAUGUAAACAUUUAAAAUUUUGCUUCCAAGUUCUAAGUUUCUAACUCAUGCUAUCUUAAGUGAAUCCAUCCAGCACAUAUUUCAAUUCUGAAAAUAUAACUACACCUGACUGCCAGGAAGAACUUUCUUGGAUCCAGGUUUGUGCAGUUCACGCCCUGCCUCAUAUGAGGGCAGCGGAUCGAUAAGUGGACAGCCCAAUGUGUCAUGCUGCAAACACACGAGAUUUCAUGGAGAAAUCCAACUGUUUUUUUUACCUCUGCAUCACCCAUAACUCGAAGAGAUCCACAUUAAUAGCAGAUGUGAAAACAAAAAUCACAGGCCAAGUAGUCCUGGGAAAACAGGAACUUGUUCAUAAAUGUUCAACUCUAAUAUACCACAAUGGAACAUGGCACCAUAAGAGAGAAAGUUUCCAUGUUCUCUGAGUUCUACUCAACUCGAGAUACCUGAAAGCUUAACAAAAAAACUCGUUUUCUUCGCGUAUAAGUUAUAACAGAACAAUGCAACUGAAAACUAGGUGUACGCUCUGCAUCAUCUCUUAAAGAUCCAAGAGUAUAUAGGCUACAAUGACAAGUCUUUCUGUAGUUUACCAUUCUGCAUAAAAGAACUAAUAAAUGCAUCAUACAUGGACAGUAAGACACUGAAUGUGUGAAAUCAUAAUCAUACAUGAGAACAACCUUCCUUCAGUACACUUCAAAUCCAUACUUUCCUAGGACAACAUAGCAAAGCAUAGAGUACUGAACCAAUAUAGCAGGUGUUCAGUUGUGCUCACCUUUCAUGAUCCCCAGGACAAUAAGACCACAGAAGAACAUGCAAGGUGAAACAACCUUCGUCAACUCAAUUUGGUGAUAGCUGACAAAAGAACAGGAGGAGUCCAUGCACAAGAUUAGUCCAUAUACUGGGUGGUGUACCAGAUAUGGCAGAUGAGAUGAAUACACCUGCAAAUAAGGUGGGGACAUAAGGUAUGAGCUUACUGAAAUAAUAAUGCUGCAAACAACAAGUAUAAAAAAUUGCUUUACAUAAAAGUUCAGCACUACAGGCAAAACAAUGCUUAGAAAUCUAGAGAAUGCUGACCUUAAUUUAAACACAAAUCUAUCAAGAUAAUCAAGAAAUAAAGAUGAACCAAUGUGACAGAUCGAGUGACAUGUAUCUGAGAAUAAAAGGAUUGUUAUUCAAAUAAUAAAAGUACGGCCACUAAACCUGCCACGAUAUCCAUCACAUACAUACCACAAACUGUACAAACAUAAGCAUACUACUUUCAUCUACUCCCUCCGUUCCAAAAUAUAAGACCUUUUAGAGAUUUCACUAUGGACUACGUACGGAGCAAAAUGAGUGAAUCUACACUCUAAAAUAUGUCCAUAUACAUCCGUAUGUAGUCUACAGUGAAAUCUCUAAAAGGUCUUAUAUUUUGGAACGGAGGAAGUAGGAGCUAAUGUAAUAGAGAAAGACAGAUAAAUACAAUAGUUGGCAUGUUGGAGUUCAUGGAAUCGAGAGUGUAACUACAUUGAACCCAGGGAUAGCGACACAUUCAGUAGCUGACAAACAGGAGCAGAAAAAUCAAGAGACAAAUGAAAUCAGGCUAGAAAAAGAAUAUUUUCAGUGAAGCUAGUUUACCUAAGAGGGUUUCUUAAACUGGUGACAUUCCCUUUAUGAAUUAUUUAGCAUUACUUGUGGUCAUCACUAGAAUGAAGCAAGAACAGAUGCUGCCAAUCACCCUGGUGCAUCAGCUGCAGAAAACCCGAAUCUAGAUACCUGUAUUGAACACCAUAUGCACUUCCUGACUCAUGGCACGUUUUCAGGAAGAAGACCACCAUCAUAGCUAAGCUGAGCUAAGCUUACUCACGGUGACAGUAAACCGAACAUGCUGCAGUCCAGGCACGAAAGAAAUGAACAUCAGGAGAUGCAAAAUAAAAUAUGAAACUUGUACGUUGCAAAGCCGAAAUGGUGAUGGGUGGAUGCAUCCUUGCAUCAUAUUUGAUGAAGAUGUCCAAGCAAAAUAACUCAGCAACCGUCUUUGUCUCAAGAUUAAUCUGGGCACCAAUUUCAGUAGCAUUUGCUUCAGAAAAGAGAUGGUCUCAGCCAUAGUGACUCUAUC
RNAcentral lists this long non-coding RNA (3472 nucleotides) under Hordeum vulgare. Its description in RNAcentral is "long non-coding RNA (HVUL_LNC013701)". The record is from RNAcentral. Lineage: Eukaryota; Viridiplantae; Streptophyta; Magnoliopsida; Poales; Poaceae.